Molecule: ribosomal RNA, 1278 nt
Filed under: Triticum aestivum (bread wheat)
Lineage: Eukaryota; Viridiplantae; Streptophyta; Magnoliopsida; Poales; Poaceae
Description: partial small subunit ribosomal RNA
Source: RNAcentral
AUGAGCGCCGCGGUGGUGACCAAGUCGACGCCGGUGCUGGUCGUCGGUCCGCCCGGCGGGGACGACGCCACCGUCCAUCUCACCUCCUCCUUCGACAGGUCCGCAGUCCCUUUCAGGGUCACGGCGCUGCUCCUCUUCGACCGGUCGAUCCCCCAGCCGGCGGAGACCAUCAGGACGGCAGUCUCCGAGGCGCUGGCCCACUACCGCCCCGUCGCCGGCCGUCUCGCUGCCGACGCCGACGGCGAUGGCGAUCUCCUGCGCAUCGAGGGUGCGGCCGGCGUGCCUUUUGUCGCCGCGUCGGCGCGCUGCGCGCUGGCGGACGUCGCGGCGCCGCUGCUCGGCAGCCUCGCCGUGUGGUACCCGGGCGGGCUCUGCCGCCACGCCGACCCGCUGCUCCUGGUGCAGGUCACCGAGUUCGCCUGCGGUGGGUUCGCCGUCGCGGCGACGUGGAACCACGUGCUGACCGACGGAGAGGGCAUGGCGCAGUUCCUGGGGGCCGUCGGCGAGCUCGCGCGCGGGGCGUCGCCAGCGCCGUCCGUCCGGCCGCUCCGGGCCGACGACGACUCGCUCCCGCGCCUCCCCCAGUCAUUGGUCGCGGCGCAGAAGCAGGCACUCAGCUGCGUAUUCAACAGGGACUUCGCGCUCCUCGACUUCACCGUACCCGCCGGCCUGAUCGGCCGCGUCAGAGCCGACUUCGACGCCGCGGGCCUCGACGGCGGGAAGCAACCCUGCACGGUAUUCGAGGCCGUCUCGGCAGUGCUGUGGCAGUGCCGGACCCGUGCGGCCGUCGUCUCCGUGUCCGACGAGGCCCCCGUGGCGCUGUCGUUCGCAGCCAACGUGCGCCGGCUCGUCGGCGCCAGGCCCGGGUACUAUGGCAACUGCGCGGUGGUGCAGUCCGUGACCUCAACGCGCGGCCAGGUGGCGAAUGGCGCCGUCGUGGAUGUGGCGAGGAUGAUCCGGCGCGCGAAGGAGAGGAUCCCGGAUCUGCUUGUCCCCAGUGGCACAACAACGGAACAGGGGGCGAUGGCGCUACCGUACCACACGCUGGUGCUGUCGUGCUGGAGGAACCUGGGGUUCGAGACGACGGACUUCGGCGGCGGGAGGCCGGCGCGGGUGACCUGGCAUGGGGAGGAGACGGUGGUGCCGGGCUGCGUCGUGUGCCCGCCGGGCAAGGACGGCGACAAGGACGGGGUUAGCGUCAUGUCGCUCUGCGUCAGGCCGGAGCAUGCCGACGCCUUGCUAGCAGAGCUCACCACAUCAGCAGAUCUAAAGUUGUAA